Molecule: small RNA, 542 nt
Filed under: Pan troglodytes (chimpanzee)
Lineage: Eukaryota; Metazoa; Chordata; Mammalia; Primates; Hominidae
Description: processed transcript
Source: RNAcentral
GUGCUAAUUGGGACUGGGAAGGGUUUGCCAAGGAUUGGAGCUGCAGACUCCAGUGCUCAGAGCAGCAGGAUGGCACUUGGUGUCUGGAUGCCUUUGGAGUUGCACAUACAGCUUCUUUAUGAAAGGAAGAAACUGGAAGACAACAAAGGCUGCAUCUUGGGGCUUCUCUGAGGACUCCUGUUUCCACCAAUACCUACUUGUUGUGGUCCUCACUUUCACAGCCAGAUGAAAACGGACGUUUUGACAAUGGCUCACAGAUUCCUGGAGAUGUCUGGGAGGAAGCAGAAAGAAGCAAGAAGGCAUCAAAACUUGAAAAGAGAAAAACCCUGAAUCAGUCAACAGAUAUCCAACAGAAAACAUGGGAGAAGAGGGAUAUGACGCCAGCAGCUAACACUGGGAAAGUUCAGAUCAUCUCUAAUAAUAGAUCUUUAUAAACAACGAGUGGCAGAACUCAGAGAGUGGGAGAGUGUUCCCUGUCUAUAAUCCAGCCACAGGAGAACAGGUGUGUGAAGUUCAAGAAGCAGACAAGGCAGAUAUAGACA